UGAACGAAUUAUAAGGAAUAAAAAGAUAACAAUAAAAAUGCUUCGAUCCAAGAUUUUUCGAACGAGUUUUUAUCCAGUGAAAAAACCGAAGAAAACAUUGAAAGAACAAUAGGAAAAGAUCUUGUCUCGUUUCAUCUAGUUGGGCAUUCUCGCCCCGUGGAAGAAAGUUUGGCAGCAGUGGAAUUGUAAUAAAUAACACGAUCACUGGUUCCAAGCUAAGGUUAUCAUAAAUGACAAUGGAUUCGCAAGAACCGUGCUUUUCAGGGGCAAUUGCAAUGGAUUUGCAAGAACCGUGCUUUUCAGGGACAUUGAAUGGUUUACAGAAUGGCGACAUGGAUCAUUCGAAUAUUGGUGAGAAUGUUUCUGUGACUCCAGAGGAAGAAGGAAACGGAAAUAAUUCGUCAGCUAGAAAUAAUGACGUUGAGGCAUAUCGUAAAUCAGUUAAUGCAGGAAUU
Long non-coding RNA from Centruroides sculpturatus (bark scorpion), 455 nucleotides. RefSeq lists it as uncharacterized. Lineage: Eukaryota; Metazoa; Arthropoda; Arachnida; Scorpiones; Buthidae. The record is from RefSeq and is a predicted model, not a curated record. The transcript is spliced from 3 exons.